Molecule: ribosomal RNA, 468 nt
Filed under: uncultured bacterium
Lineage: Bacteria
Description: partial 16S ribosomal RNA
Rfam family: Bacterial small subunit ribosomal RNA
Source: RNAcentral
GACGAACGCUGGCGGCGUGCUUAACACAUGCAAGUCGAACGGACAGGCCCUGCUUUUGUUGCGUGCUCGAUUGGCGAACGCGUGAGUAACACGUGAGUAACCUGCCCUUGACUUUGGGAUAACUUCAGGAAACUGCGGCUAAUACCGGAUAUGAUCUCCUGCUGCAUGGUGGGCGUUGGAAAGUUUCGGCGUUUGUGGAUGGACUCGCGGCUUAUCAGCUUGUUGGUGGGGUAGUGGCUUACCAAGGCUUUGACGGGUAGCCUGCAUGGGAGGGUUACCGGGCACAUUGGGACUGAGAUACGGCGCAGAAUGGUACGGGAGGCAGCAGGGGGGAAUAUGGCAGAAUGGGCGGAAGCCUGAUGCAGCAACGCCGCGUGCGGGAUGACGGCCUUCGGGUUGUAAACCGAUUUCGCCGGUGACGAAGAGUGAGUGACGGUAAUGGGUAAAGAAGCACCGGCUAACUACGUG